CCCCCAAGCACAACUAGAAACCACUAGAAAAACAUAAAAAUGGUCUGAUUCAUGCUGGAUAUCAGAGGAAAUCAUCUUAUCCCCUCUGAUACGCAAUCUAUGAAUGUAGAAAAUUUUGGCUGACUCAUGAGAGUCCCAGAAUGGCUCUAGAUGUUGACAGAUAUAUUAAGAAGAGCCAAGCAAUUUUUGUACCAACGCAGAGGCAGGGGAGAUGUGUUCAUUAGUUGUUGGUGAAAUUACUGAAAGUGCUGCAAUAAAGUUGGGUAAACUUUUUACCUUCGCUAAUCACGGGCUUACCUGGGUCACAAGCAUUAGUCAUGGAUAUUCAUUGCAAACUGCAAGCUCAUAAAAGACAGCAUAUGGCAGCCCCGAAUUUCUUGCUAUAUAAAGUUAAAUUCACAGUAAUAACAUCUGUGCAGAAUUUAGAGCCCCACCAAUUAAAGUGAGGUCAACGUGCUGAGGCAGAGAUUGAUGGCAUUCUGCAAAUCUUAAAUGACAAGUUAAAGAGGUAUAAAAUAAACAAACAACUUUAUUUCUUAUUAAAGAGGCGACAAGAGGGGUGAGAAUGCUGAGAGCUCAGUAAUGAGGGCCAAGAGGAGCAGGGCAAUGCUGUGGGUUGUGGCUGGGUUGUAACUCAGCAACGAGGGCUGCACCUGGAGCGGGCUCUUGCUGCCUUUUCUUGCUGGUACAAUACAAGUAGCAAAUGAAAAUUGCUGGGCAGGACCCUGAAACCCCAACCUGUCAAAUUUGGGCUACAAAAACGGUGAAAGAAGAAGGGGAAGACACAAGAGGAGAGGCUGAGGUCACUUGAUCUGCUCAGCUGGAGAGGAGACUGAGGGGAGGCUCAUCCUGCUCUACAACUUCAAGAGGGGAAGAGGAGGGGCAGGUGAUGUAACUUUUCUAAAAUGAUUUCUGCCUUGAGGUCUUCAGUGUGUGAUGCAACAUUUACAGGAAGAAAGAGUUAAAUUGCAAGUGGUGAGUAAAAUCAUCGUAAUUGGGCUGACUCCACCACGGAGCUCUUCCUUUGAGUCAGUUUGUCUGUCAUGGGGCACUUGAGAUUUAAGAAGUCCUUGUCAAUGAAGGCAAAACUACUGAAGAAAAAUUCCUGUUUAAAGAGGUGGAAUUUAGUAGGUACUUAUCCAAAUCUGCAAGUAAAACUUAAAGCUUCUUUAAACCAAUACGAAUUGAAAAAGAUGAAAUUACGGCUUUACCUGAAGCCUGGGUAGAUUCUGUCCUUUUAGAGCAAUGUGCCUUCAGGUCAUUAUCCAAAGGGCUCCUGCUCAGACUUUCCCAAUUCACAGCCAGGAUUUUUGCUCAUGGUUUUCCACAAUGCUGCACAUGAAUGUCUGAAGCAACAUUUCCAACUCUACAGCAGGGUAGGGGGAAUGGGAAGGAAAGGGAAUAUAUGUUUUGCUCAGUUGUGAAGCUGGAGACAAGGAAACUUGUGCUUGUUUGGGUUUUUUUCCCAUGCAGUGAGAAAAACAUGCAAAUGAAGUGUGAAAGAGAAAUUAUUCUGAAAGCAGACAGGAACAGCAUCACUGAAAGAACAGGGCCAUCAAGAGAAUCCCAAAUCCAGGGCACAACUGCGAGAAAUCCCAGAAAGCUGGCACUAACAACACCACAUUGAUUGGCAAAGGUGAUAUUUCAAAGGGAAUAAUCAAUAAAAAAUAAACCUUUCUUUUUUAAUUCUAGGCAGAUAAUUUGGAAUAGGAUGGGUGAAGAAUGCUAUUAUAUAAUUUCAAAAACCUGCUACUUCACCAUUUCUCAACAGCCAAAUCCUGCUCUUGUGUGUGUCCAGCCAGGCCAACCUAAAUCAUGUAUUCAUGAUUUAGUCAUAGAGUUUUCUGUUUCCAAAGCAGGAAAAAGGCUGAAAUACCUUGUUGGAAGGAGAAGCUGGGCAAGGGAAAUAUGUUCUGCUGACCAAAAAAUGAAACCAUGUGUGAACAAUGGAAGUGCUGUACUGGUUAUCUUUAAAUCGAUGUAUUUAUCAGCACCAUUUUUGUACCGAGGGUUUUCCUGGCAAGCUCUUUGUUAUCAUAAAGGAAACUCACAGCUGGCAAUUCUGUGUGGUGGUCAUUCACUACAAAUGAGAAUUUAGUAUCUUCUGGCAUUGUAUCAAUCUCCGCUAGAGCGUUAUGUAUAAACUAACUCUCAAUAUUGACUCAAAAUUUGGAACAGUAAGUGCAUUUCUCAGCUUAGAGAUGAGCCUGAUCUCUUUUUUCCUCCUGUAAAGAAUAAUAAUGUCUUAUUUAGAAGAACCUGUAAUGUUUCUGGCCUGCACUCAGUGUCUUGUACAGCUUAAGCACUGGAUUUUGUGAGGCAAGGAGAGAGACUUUUCUUAGUUUGGGAGUCAUCCAUGGAAAAAUAGGUAUGCCAUGGAAGUAUGCAGGAAAGGCAAUAGGUGAUGAUGUUCUUUCGACUGCACUUCCCAGCCAAGGUUGUAUCAUAUUUCUUGGAUACCAAGGAACUUGGAACUGGGGAGAUAUCUGAUGGAUUUACAAUUUGGAAAUGUUUUACCUCAAAAAACCGUGGUGUGCCAAAAGCCAGGAGUUUAAAGGAAGUGUCUUUGUUUUCAGAAAGAUUCUGCUGGAAGUAGGUGAACUCAGUUUGUGGAGAGCUCAGCUGGGUGCUAACGAGGACAUCCCUAGGGCAUGGCCCCAAAUUCUGCCAGGACUGGGUCAGUCUCCUCUGAGAAGAACCUUCUGCUUUUCAUAUUACUAAUCCCUGCAGCAAUUUUGGUGGCAGAAUUGCCCCAGAUCCAGGGAACAAGGUAGACCUGGAAGCUGUUGAGUAAAUGGAGACAAAACCAAUAUCCUUUGUGCUGUCCCCAUUGCUCCUGGCCAGCUCAGGCCCCAGGGAGGAGUGAAUGAUAACGAACUUACAUCCACCCUACAGGUUCUCAACGAAUAAUAGAAUAUGUGUCCUAAGUGAUCUCUGCCUUUAAGUGUUGGUUAUUUUAACACUUGGAUGUCACACAAAUAGAGUUCUUGCUCUAUUUUUUUUCUAAACAAGGAUUUUCAGCCUUUGAUAACUUAGGAGAAAUUCUGAAAAAUGACCAAUUCCGAUUUGCAAUAAAAAGACCCCCAACCAACCAAACCCACCCCAGCAACUUUCAAAAUGAAACAACAACAAAAAGGAAUUUCAGCCAGCUACUGAUGUAAUUCACAGGACUUUACAUAUUUAUGGUCAGUAAAGAGACCAUAAACUUUGAAAAGGUAGAGGGGCUGCCUGUUUGUGUGCAGAAAACAGCAGUUUCCUCGAUUUCUCUCCAUUGUCAUGCAGUUUCCAUGUGAGUUAUUGGUGGCACCUUGUUGUCAAAGAAGGAGGUGUUUCAGUGAAUGGUAAAACCUGUGCUACGUUUGUUUGCUGGGUAUUCAUUAGUUAAUUCUCAUAAGGGUGUUGUUCUAGGGGAGGCAAUGUUUGCCUUUGGCUGGGGGAGUUGCACUCAAGGUGGUGUUGGACCAGCAAAUCCUAACGCUAAAAUUCAAAAUCUAAAAAUUUCACAUGGAAACGUUCAUUACGACUCAAUUUUGCUUUUUUCUCAAAGGUGCCUGUACUCUGACAGCCGCAUACCAGGAGCUGAGAGGAGCCUGGCCAGCACCACACAUGAUCAGAAAUAGAAAUCCUGAGCUCAGCCAGUAGUGACUGGAAGAGUUUUGGCUGGAUGGUGCACAGGAAGCUUUGUGUAGUCACAGGUCGUGGUAGAAAAGUUUGCCAAGGCAAAAAAAUAACCCACCUUAGAAACGCUCUCAUUGCAUUGAGCUGCGCUGGGGAUUUAGUUGAUUCUUCUUAUUUCCUUUUUAUUUCUGAAAAAACAAGGAUUGAAGACUCUCCAGGUUAUUAUUAAUAAUGACUAUAACAUAAUAAUUCUGUAUACAAUUUUAUUCAUGGUUUAAUAUACAGUGUAUUUUAUACACGCACAAUAUUGUUUUAUACAUGCACAAUAUUAUUUUAGACAUGCAUAAUACUAUUUUAUACAUACAUAGGUGUAACCAUGUCCCAGUGCCCUGUUCAGGAGAUACAUUCCUGCCUUCCAAGCUCCUCAAAAUGGGUUCAACCUGUGUGGCCCUGAGCAGAAUGGCAGACAGGCAUUUUUUAUUGCUGAUUCCAACUCUCAUAAAUUCUUAGCUUGCUUAGAAUUUGCCAGAUUAAAUGAAAAGUUACUGUAAUUAGGGAUUUAUUAAAACAUGAAUCCUUGACCCAACAGAAUAUAAUAACUCAUUUGUUUCAAAUAAGGCCUCUUUAAUUGUUCCAUCAUUGGCCUAAGCAGCCCGUGCAGUGCAGAGUCACGUGUGUUCUCCAAAUCCACUUGCAAAAUGCUCUGUGAAAUUUUUGAUCCCCACACCACUCUAUAGGCAGAAGCCCCUAAAACAAAAGUGUGUCAUUUUAAUUAAAAAUUCAAGUGCUGAAAGCCCUUAUUAUUCUGCACUACAAAGCAAAGUCUGUGAAAACACUGGUUUUAUAUAUAAGGUUCUAUUUUAACUUUUUGUGACCAACCUUCCCUCUUUGUAUCUUCAAAACCAAUAGUUAUUGAUUUACAGUCUUAUAAAACAAGACUGUAAAAUCUUGUACCAUGGAACUAUAAAUAGAUAUUUUAAAAAUAUAUGAAAAUUGCUCCCAAAUCAGGUCUAUAUAAGGCACUAAUCAGCAGAGAGCCAUUUUGCAGGGGAAUAGAAACUGCAGAAAAUAAUUUCUAUUGAAAAUGCAAAGAAAUCUGAGACUACACACAAACAAUGCAGCCAGAAUUAAGGAAUUACCCAUUCCUCCUCCCCAUCUUUGAAAUAAGCCUUCUCUUUUUUUUUUUUUUAAUUGGUUGGCUGUAGAAAGCAUAUUACUAUAUUUGGGUCCUGUUUCCCUAGUAUAAGAAUAGUCCUACAAGGAAUUCCCAGUAAAACAGUGUUGCAGUUCUACAGUAUAUCAAAAAAAAAAAAAAUACCAUUGGAAAGUGUUAUCCAAUGGGCAGAUGUUAACUUAAAGUGCACAUUGUUUGGAAAAGGAGUUAAUUAACAACUUAUUAAUUGGAUAGAAAGUCUGAAACUGUUGUACUUCUAGCAAAUACAUAAUUUUCUUCAAGUAUUAUUAAAGCGUUUUUGUUGUACCUAUUAAA
Long non-coding RNA from Corvus hawaiiensis (hawaiian crow), 5107 nucleotides. RefSeq lists it as uncharacterized. The record is from RefSeq and is a predicted model, not a curated record. The transcript has 2 exons. Lineage: Eukaryota; Metazoa; Chordata; Aves; Passeriformes; Corvidae.